RNAcentral lists this ribosomal RNA (201 nucleotides) under uncultured bacterium. RNAcentral describes it as "partial 16S ribosomal RNA". It matches the Rfam family "Bacterial small subunit ribosomal RNA", at positions 130 to 334 of the family's 1533-position model. The record is from RNAcentral.
CCGAUGGAGGGGGAUAACUACUGGAAACGGUAGCUAAUACCGCAUAACGUCGCAAGACCAAAGAGGGGGACCUUCGGGCCUCUGCCAUCGGAUGUGCCCAGAUGGGAUUAGCUAGUAGGUGGGGUAAAGGCUCACCUAGGCGACGAUCCCUAGCUGGUCUGAGAGGAUGACCAGCCACACUGGAACUGAGACACGGUCCAG